Paramuricea clavata is the source of this 622-nucleotide non-coding RNA. The record is from the annotation of a GenBank genome assembly. NCBI's taxonomy places the organism in Eukaryota, Metazoa, Cnidaria, Anthozoa, Malacalcyonacea, Plexauridae.
GUUUUAUUUACCCACAAAUAAUAUUUACAAGUUGAAUAUUUAAGAAUAUAUAAACGGGCUAGAGACCUCUGGAAAUCCUAUUGGACUUUUAAGACGAGGCCCAUAUAGUUUUAGUGUUCAGUAAUAUAAAAAUAGAUUAUGUACAUAAGGACAAUUUGCAAUGAAAAACACAAACUAUUUACAAACAAAUAUGGAAAAUGUUUAAGGAAUAUUUAGUACAUUACAGAAUACUGUCAUUAAUAUUCCUGAAAUAUUUACAUCAACUAGACAUCAAGUAAUACGAUUUUGCAGUUUUCUUAAAAGAAAAAUAUGAUUUAAUAUUUUUAAUUUCUUCAUCAAGGCAAUUCCAUAUAGAAACUCCUUUGUUAAAUACAGUGUAUUUGCGAUAGUUUGUUCUCUUAUAGCUCACAUGUAACUUGGUAGAAUUUCGAGUAUUAUAGUUGUAUAAUUCGUUAUUUUGUUUGAAGUAAUCAUUAUAAAAGUCCGGGAAAUUUUGACAAUAAUUGAAGCGAUACAUGAAUAAGCUGCAUAGAUAAUCAUUAAUUUUGUAGAUAUCCAAGAUUUUCAAUUGUAAAAAUAUUGGUUCAGAAUGAUCCAUAUAAGAUUUAAAACAGAUUAGUCG